Oncorhynchus tshawytscha (Chinook salmon) is the source of this 575-nucleotide long non-coding RNA. The record is from Ensembl. NCBI's taxonomy places the organism in Eukaryota, Metazoa, Chordata, Actinopteri, Salmoniformes, Salmonidae.
GUUUUACACAGUAAUAAUAUAUAUCUGCCUCACUCUCAGAGAAAUCAGUAGUACUGCUAGGUUUUACACAGUAAUAAUAUAUAUCUGCCUCACUCUCAGAGGAAUCAGUAGUACUGCUAGGUUUUACACAGUAAUAAUAUAUAUCUGCCUCACUCUCAGUGAAAUCAGUAGUACUGCUAGGUUUUACACAGUAAUAAUAUAUAUCUGCCUCACUCUCAGAGAAAUCAGUAGUACUGCUAGGUUUUACACAGUAAUAAUAUAUAUCUGCCUCACUCUCAGAGGAAUCAGUAGUACUGCUAGGUUUAAUACAGUAAUAAUAUAUAUCUGCCUCACUCUCAGAGGAAUCAGUAGUACUGCUAGGUUUUACACAGUAAUAAUAUAUAUCUGCCUCACUCUCAGAGGAAUCAGUAGUACUGCUAGGUUUUAUACAGUAAUAAUAUAUAUCUGCCUCACUCUCAGAGGAAUCAGUAGUACUGCUAGGUUUUACACAGUAAUAAUAUAUAUCUGCCUCACUCUCAGAGAAAUCAGUAGUACUGCUAGGUUUUACACAGUAAUAAUAUAUAUCUGCCUCACUC